This is a long non-coding RNA of Mastomys coucha (southern multimammate mouse), 311 nucleotides long. RefSeq lists it as uncharacterized. The transcript is spliced from 3 exons. NCBI's taxonomy places the organism in Eukaryota, Metazoa, Chordata, Mammalia, Rodentia, Muridae. The record is from RefSeq and is a predicted model, not a curated record.
CCGGGCUCUAAAAACAGCACCUCCAUUACGCCUCCCCACAGCCUGUGUCAACCCAGAGGAGGCUUCUGUUACCUUACAGAUGAGUGAACCCGAGGCUCAGGACCUUUAACGACUCGGUGGGGAGAACAUUGCCAAACAUCUCUCAUGGAAAGGAACUGGAUUUCAUCAUCCUCAAGUCUUAUCUGGGUGCCUACAGAAACCGAAAGACAAAUGUUGUGUGAAGUUGAUGAAGCAAUCUACCACAAGCACCAAUUUCAAAGCAGGCCUAAAAAUAACUUUUGUUGAAUCAUAAACACUCCAUUAAAAACAAA